This 122-nucleotide non-coding RNA is filed under the name Linnemannia elongata AG-77. RNAcentral's name for it is "Mortierella elongata AG-77 Eukaryotic large subunit ribosomal RNA". It matches the Rfam family "Eukaryotic large subunit ribosomal RNA", at positions 3024 to 3145 of the family's 3401-position model. The record is from Rfam by way of RNAcentral. Lineage: Eukaryota; Fungi; Mortierellomycota; Mortierellomycetes; Mortierellales; Mortierellaceae.
ACUGCUUAGUAUGAGAGGAAGCGUUCAUUCGGAUAAUUGGUAUUUGGGGCUGCCUAAGCAGGCAAUGGCCCGAAGCUAUCAUCCGCCGGGUUAUAGCUGAACGCCUCUAAGUCAGAACCCGU